This 380-nucleotide ribosomal RNA is filed under the name uncultured eukaryote. RNAcentral's name for it is "partial 18S ribosomal RNA". It matches the Rfam family "Eukaryotic small subunit ribosomal RNA", at positions 592 to 976 of the family's 1831-position model. The record is from RNAcentral.
CAAUAGCGUAUAUUAAAGUUGUUGCGGUUAAAAAGCUCGUAGUUGGAUUUCUGCUGAGGAUGACCGGUCCGCCCUGUGGGUGUGCAUCUGGCUCAGCCUUGGCAUCUUCCUGAAGAACGUAGCUGCACUUGACUGUGUGGUGCGGUAUUUAGGACAUUUACUUUGAGGAAAUUAGAGUGUUUCAAGCAAGCGCACGCUUUGAAUACAUUAGCAUGGAAUAAUAAGAUAGGACCUUGGUUCUAUUUUGUUGGUUUCUAGAGCUGAGGUAAUGAUUGAUAGGGAUAGUUGGGGGCAUUCGUAUUUAACUGUCAGAGGUGAAAUUCUUGGAUCUGUUAAAGACGGACUACUGCGAAAGCAUUUGCCAAGGAUGUUUUCAUUGA